UACAGAGGUGGCAAGCGUUGUUCGGAAUUACUGGGCGUAAAGGGCGCGUAGGCGGCCUACUAAGUCAGACGUGAAAUCCCCCGGCUUAACCUGGGAACUGCGUCUGAUACUGGAAGGCUUGAGGAUGGGAGAGGGAUGUAGAAUUCCAGGUGUAGCGGUGAAAUGCGUAGAUAUCGAGAGGAACACCUGCGGCGAAGGCGGGUUGCUGGGCUGACACUGACGCUGAAGCGCGAAAGCUAGGGGAGCGAACGGG
RNAcentral lists this ribosomal RNA (253 nucleotides) under uncultured bacterium. Its description in RNAcentral is "partial 16S ribosomal RNA". It matches the Rfam family "Bacterial small subunit ribosomal RNA", at positions 524 to 776 of the family's 1533-position model. The record is from RNAcentral.